CAUAAUGGUUUUGUUGUUUUGCUCAGGUUGUUCUGUGGACUAGAUGGGAUCUACUGUAUGUUUCUAGGGAGAUUGAAUAAUCUCUGUACAUUGAAUCGACAAUACGGUUUAUCUGGGAAGAACUCAAACGAGGCAAUGUUUGUGAUCGAAGCUUAUCGAACACUUCGUGAUCGUGGUCCUUACCCAGCAGAUCAAGUUCUUAGAGGUCUUGAGGGAAGCUUCGCUUUCGUUGUCUACGAUACUCAAACUUCCUCUGUUUUCUCAGCUCUGAGUUCUGAUGGAGGAGAGAGUCUUUACUGGGGAAUUUCUGGAGACGGAUCUGUUGUAAUGUCUGAUGAUAUUCAGAUCAUAAAGCAAGGCUGUGCUAAAUCGUUUGCUCCUUUCCCUAAUGGUAAACCAAAACUUAAGUUUUUCAUUAGCCCUAUAAAGA
Molecule: small RNA, 430 nt
Filed under: Arabidopsis thaliana (thale cress)
Lineage: Eukaryota; Viridiplantae; Streptophyta; Magnoliopsida; Brassicales; Brassicaceae
Description: ATSL138970
Source: RNAcentral